UCCGGGGUAGCUCAAUUGGCAGAGCGGUUGACUGUUAAUCAAUAGGUUCUGGGUUCGAGUCCCAGCCCCGGAG
RNAcentral lists this transfer RNA (73 nucleotides) under Acidimicrobiales bacterium. RNAcentral's name for it is "tRNA-Asn". It matches the Rfam family "tRNA". From Rfam's summary of the family: Transfer RNA (tRNA) molecules are approximately 80 nucleotides in length. Their secondary structure includes four short double-helical elements and three loops (D, anti-codon, and T loops). RNAcentral also lists the same sequence under 2 other names. The record is from RNAcentral. Lineage: Bacteria; Bacillati; Actinomycetota; Acidimicrobiia; Acidimicrobiales.